UGAGGAAUAUUGGGCAAUGGGCGAAAGCCUGACCCAGCCACGCCGUGUGAGUGAUGAAGGCCUUCGGGUUGUAAAGCUCUUUAAGGAGGGAAGAAAACGUUCAGUUCGAAUAGGGCUGAACCUUGACGGUACCUCCCGACUAAGCACCGGCUAACUCUGUGCCAGCAGCCGCGGUAAGACAGAGGGUGCGAACGUUGCUCGGAAUUACUGGGCGUAAAGCGCGUGUAGGCGGACUAGCAAGUCAAGUGUGAAAUCCCUGGGCUCAACCCAGGAACUGCAUUCGAAACUGUUAGUCUUGAGUAGUGGAGAGGGAAGGCGGAAUUCCGGGUGUAGAGGUGAAAUUCGUAGAUAUUAGAAAGAAUACCGAUUGCGAAGGCAGCUUUCUGGAUCAUUACUGACACUGAGGAACGAAAGCAUGGGUAGCGAAGAGG
RNAcentral lists this ribosomal RNA (431 nucleotides) under uncultured bacterium. RNAcentral describes it as "bacterial SSU rRNA". It matches the Rfam family "Bacterial small subunit ribosomal RNA", at positions 355 to 776 of the family's 1533-position model. The record is from RNAcentral.